RNAcentral lists this unclassified non-coding RNA (418 nucleotides) under fungal sp. Its description in RNAcentral is "partial internal transcribed spacer region". The stretch from base 1 to 46 matches the Rfam family "Eukaryotic small subunit ribosomal RNA", at positions 1786 to 1831 of the family's 1831-position model. The record is from RNAcentral. Lineage: Eukaryota; Fungi.
AAGUCGUAACAAGGUUUCCGUAGGUGAACCUGCGGAAGGAUCAUUACCACGUAUCCACGUAUCCACCCUUCGUGCACCGUUAUUCCCUCCCUGUCCAGCCACAUGCAUUGAGAACUCAGUCGCGCAUUGAAUGGGACCUGCUGAUUCAUUUCUCAGGCCGGCGCGGCGAGAACAGUUGGUCUUAUGGAUUUAUUUCUGUUUGGCCUAUCAAUGGUAGUGGAGAGACAGGCUUAAUAUUUCUACUGCGUCGCUCUCCAUUCAAGAGCGGUGUAGUAGGGAGCCACUUAUCACAUAUUUCACCCCCUUUUUGCUAGUUGACUUUUUUAAUGUUGGGCAUUGGAGUUCAUUCUUCUCUACUCACACGUUUCUUAAUUGAACGAAAAAAAUACAACUCUUAGCAAUGGAUAUCUAGGUUCUC